UCCUGCUGUCUCUCCCAAGUCUUGUG
Molecule: non-coding RNA, 26 nt
Filed under: Mus musculus (house mouse)
Lineage: Eukaryota; Metazoa; Chordata; Mammalia; Rodentia; Muridae
Source: RNAcentral